UGGGGAAUAUUGCACAAUGGGCGCAAGCCUGAUGCAGCCAUGCCGCGUGUAUGAAGAAGGCCUUCGGGUUGUAAAGUACUUUCAGUCGGGAGGAAGGUGGUAAGGUUAAUAACCUUAUCAAUUGACGUUACCGACAGAAGAAGCACCGGCUAACUCCGUGCCAGCAGCCGCGGUAAUACGGAGGGUGCAAGCGUUAAUCGGAAUUACUGGGCGUAAAGCGCACGCAGGCGGUUGAUUGAGUCAGAUGUGAAAUCCCCGGGCUUAACCCGGGAAUUGCAUUCGAAACUGGCAGGCUAGAGUCUUGUAGAGGGGGGUAGAAUUCCAGGUGUAGCGGUGAAAUGCGUAGAGAUCUGGAGGAAUACCGGUGGCGAAGGCGGCCCCCUGGACGAAGACUGACGCUCAGGUGCGAAAGCGUGGGGAGCAAACAGG
RNAcentral lists this ribosomal RNA (429 nucleotides) under Chloroflexota bacterium. RNAcentral's name for it is "Chloroflexi bacterium partial 16S ribosomal RNA". It matches the Rfam family "Bacterial small subunit ribosomal RNA", at positions 355 to 776 of the family's 1533-position model. Lineage: Bacteria; Bacillati; Chloroflexota. The record is from RNAcentral.